This 76-nucleotide transfer RNA is filed under the name Mannia androgyna. RNAcentral describes it as "partial tRNA-Leu". The record is from RNAcentral. Lineage: Eukaryota; Viridiplantae; Streptophyta; Marchantiopsida; Marchantiales; Aytoniaceae.
UCGUAUAUUGGUAGACGCUGCGGACUUAAAUCCGUUGGCUUUAAAGACCGUGAGGGUUCAAGUCCCUCUACCCCCA